UAGAAAAUGGCGUGAGAAGUUCAACUGAUCUCACUCAGAUAAAUUAUUUCUUAGGAAAUUACUUUUUUAGCUACAUUACAACAUUACAACGACGAGUUUGACUUUAUUCGCUGUAGUUAUGUUAUAGAAGUGAAUUAUUCGAAAUAUUCAAGAAAUAUUUUGUAAAUUUGAAGAGUAAAUUUAUCAAUUGUGGAUUUUGCAUUAUAUUAUCUUUGGAUGAUAUGGCGGAAUUCGACGAGUGUGUUAUGUGCUAUGUUACGUAACUACGUAAGAGAAUAAAAUUGGAAGAAAAGAGCAAAAAGAGAGAAAGGAAAGAAGACAGGAAAUAGUGUAUUUGAGAAAGAAGGAGAAUAAAGUUGAAAUCGUGGAAGAAGAAAGAGAAGAUAAACGGGACAACAACACGCGGGGAAAUUCUUUUUUAUUUUUAGGCAUCGUCAACUCGAGAACAGUGCCUGUCGCGGACCAAGAGAUAUGCCGAAGAUUGGAGACGUACAUCGCUAGUAGUACCGGUGAGGAUGCCAUUGCAAUUGAAGUUGAAGAAUCGAUAGCGAAUAGUGAAUGUCAUAACGUUGACGCGACCAUGUCGACGAUAAAAACGAGUAAUACGACAGGAACGAAUCAUAUCCUACCAGCUCUUAGUCGCUUCAAGUAUGAAUAUUUCGUCGCCGGUAUAUCCGGUGGCGUUGUUUCGACACUCACCCUUCAUCCAUUGGAUCUAAUCAAAAUUAGAUUGGCAGUUAACGAUGGACGUAGCUCAAUACCGCAAUACACAGGUAUAGUAUCUGCCUUCAAGCAGAUUAUGAAAAGUGAAGGAAUACGUGGAUUCUACAGAGGAGUGACACCGAACGUCUUGGGAUCAGGCUGCUCUUGGGGAUUAUAUUUCUUCUUUUACAAUAACAUAAAGACAUGGAUUCAAGGAGGAAAUGCGAAGAAACCAUUAGGUCCAUCAAUGCAUAUGCUAGCUGCUGCAGAUGCAGGAAUAUUAACUUUGUUGAUGACUAAUCCAAUAUGGGUAGUGAAAACACGAUUAUGUUUACAAUAUGUUGAAGAUAAAAAUCUUGCAGAAUCCAAGAGAUACUCAGGAGUAACAGAUGCCCUGUUAAAGAUCUAUAGAACCGAAGGAAUCAGGGGUUUAUAUAAGGGUUUAGUUCCUGGAAUGUUUGGUGUAUCACAUGGUGCCAUACAAUUUAUGACAUAUGAAGAAAUGAAAAAUAAAUAUAAUAUAUACCAAAACGUACCUAUCGACACAAAACUGAACAUGUUCGAAUAUAUCCUUUUUGCUGCCGUUUCUAAGGUAAUUGCAGCUGCUGUAACAUAUCCUUAUCAGGUAUUAAGGGCGCGUUUGCAAGAUCAUCAUCUUGACUACAGAGGAACGUGGCACUGCGUCCAGGUGACAUGGAGGUGUGAAGGUUGGCGUGGAUUUUACAAGGGUCUUAGUGUCAACCUUAUGAGAGUGACCCCAGCAACUGUGAUUACCUUUUUGGUCUACGAGAAUGUUACCCACUUCUUCAAGCGCAACCCACAAUAUGCAAACAUUGGGUCAAGUGGAUAGAACAAUAUCUUCGACAGGUUCGAUGAACAUGUUCUAAUAGAACAACGUAUAAUACACGAGCCAACUACAUCGCUGGCGGAACCAUACGUGUCAACAACAUCAUGACGCUUACAACGCUGCGAAGACAUGCAUCAACAAGCGUACAGGAUAUAACACGGCUGGUGAUUUAACGAUGGCGACUGUUGGUUGAUAUCCAGGACCUUCAGCCCCGCCCAUGUGAUUUAAAUCGCGACCUUUUCAGUGACGACCUGAUGACCCCGUACACGUUCGAGGGUACUCCCAAAGAGGAUACGGUGAAGAAAUUCUUCAAAUUGAAUAUCAAACGUAGGUUCGUCGUCUCGUUUCUUCUUAUUUCGAUUAAUGCUAUGGGAAAAAAUAUGACGGAAGUUGUACGACGUCAUAUCAGGAGUCUUUCUUAUCCCGAAGAAAGCGAAAUGGGGAUCACGAGGAAUGAAAUUGAUAUAUACUAACGAUUGAGACAGAACAAAAAUGACAGAAUAUGAAGAUUCUUCUUAGAAGAGAAAGAGAGAAAUAUAUAGAAUGAGUACUUUAUUAUUUUCAAUUCGAAGAACAAAUUAGUAGACCAAGAAAAAGACGAUUAUAAGAUGCAGAAUUAUUUAAGAAAAAAAAAAGUAAAACAAUACAAUUUUCAAAACAAAAAUAGAAAGAAAAGAAAAAGGAAGAAUACGAAAGUUAAAGUGACUUUAAUAACGAAAUAUUCUAAAGUAUUUGCGAUCAAAUUCAUUUAUCGCACGAAAUUUGAACGAAAUUAUAUAUAAGAGGAAAUUAAAUCAUAAACGAUUUUCAAGAGAAAAUUGGGAUUCCCCUGCGUUAAUGAACCGAACAUAAAAUUAUUUUCGCUAGGUACGGUUAGAGUGUACUGAUUUCUCACCCUCUAAGUGUGAUCGACGAAACGGAGGGACUUAAAGAGAUAGAGAAAGAGAGAGAGACGGAGAGAGAGAAAGAGAGAGAGAGGGAGAGAGAGUAAGAGAAACAGAGAGAUAGAGAGAGAGUGAGUGAGAAAGAAAGAAGAGAGAGGAGAGUGGCCGUUGAUAAGCGAGGCCAUCGAUUUCCGUUUUCGGCUGGUUUGGUCGACGAGACUGGCAGGCAGGCAACGAGUUACCAACGAACUACCAGCUCGUCCAGUUUAGUAAUCAACGCGAGGGUGGCUUUAAUCGCAGUCCGCCGCAACUUUAUUUUCCAGCUUACUCGUGGCGGAAUCCUAUCAAGCCACCUCAUCAUUGCGUAUUUACUACAUAUUCUUUGCCCUCGCAAUACCUUUGGACGAUCCAAUCACGACGUACUCGAUGUCUGCUGCCUUUUUCUUCGAGGCGAAUUAUAAGUUGCCGACGAAGGAUGAUAUCGACUUAGAGGUCAAAGGGAAAGAGAAAAGGCAAAGAAAAAGCAUAGAUCGCACCACGGUCUAUUCCAUGUUGGAAUCAAAAUUUAAAUCAAUCGGCUAUCCGGCUCGACAGUGCCUUCUCAGAUCUAUAUGCGAGACCACACGACUGCCCUGGAAGCUCAAUGCUGGUGUCCUUGGAGAUCUUUUGAGAAUCCUGUUCACACCAUCCUCAUCACGUUUCGAAGUCGAUCUUCACAAGGAAUACGCCGAAGCUGAGAAGGUCGAUGGUACGAGGAAAUGUUCCGAAAUUUAUUCCACCUGCAAGUACGGGAUUUACGACUACAUAACGCUCCCCUAUCAGGAUUUGUGAGAGUAGCAGCUUGCCUUCGGUCGGUCCUUCUCUCUACCCUCCAGCACUCUUGGUUGGUACGACGCUCUCGAAGCUCUAAUGAAAACUCACGAAAGUUUGCUAAAUCAGAAAGACCUCGUUUUUCCGAGCGCUUUUCUUUCCUCUUUCUGUCUACAAGCCACUCCCGCAUUACGUGCGCCAACGUAAUUCCAUUAUGUAGAUAAAAUCAGCUUGUUUACUUCUUGGAAAGGAAGCUCCUUCGACUUCUUCGUGGUGAAUGUCUCGUAGCUUGGCCAUUUUUGCAACAGUGCAGUUAGGAUGAGAAAGUCCAAUCAAGUUGAAAACGAGUGUAAGAAGGAAUGAUCGUUUUAUGCUUUUCUCAUGUAUCCUUACCUUGUCUGUAUCCACUCUUACACUCACUCAUUCGUUCGUAUAGACGUAUUCUCAAGCAAUAAAAAAUUUGAAACCA
RNA transcript from Vespa crabro (European hornet), 3712 nucleotides. It is a transcript of the gene named mitochondrial folate transporter/carrier, with no coding region annotated. NCBI's taxonomy places the organism in Eukaryota, Metazoa, Arthropoda, Insecta, Hymenoptera, Vespidae. The record is from RefSeq and is a predicted model, not a curated record. The transcript has 15 exons.